GAAUUUAAUAGCGAAUAAUGUCGUAUAAGAUUGGGGAUAUGGCCCAAUAGUUUCUACCAAGCCGCCGUAAAGGGUUUGACUACGAGGUAAGUGUUCAGCGGA
RNAcentral lists this non-coding RNA (102 nucleotides) under Planococcus glaciei. RNAcentral describes it as "Planomicrobium glaciei Guanine sequence". It matches the Rfam family "Purine riboswitch aptamer". From Rfam's summary of the family: Riboswitches are metabolite binding domains within certain messenger RNAs that serve as precision sensors for their corresponding targets. Allosteric rearrangement of mRNA structure is mediated by ligand binding, and this results in modulation of gene expression. A class of riboswitches that selectively recognises guanine and becomes saturated at concentrations as low as 5 nM. Lineage: Bacteria; Bacillati; Bacillota; Bacilli; Caryophanales; Caryophanaceae. The record is from RNAcentral.